UACGGAGGGUGCAAGCGUUAUCCGGAUUUACUGGGUUUAAAGGGUGCGUAGGUGGUUCGGUAAGUCAGUGGUGAAAUCUUCGAGCUUAACUCGGAAACUGCCAUUGAUACUAUCGAUCUUGAAUUAUCUGGAGGUAAGCGGAAUAUGUCAUGUAGCGGUGAAAUGCUUAGAUAUGACAUAGAACACCCAUUGCGAAGGCAGCUUACUACGGAUAUAUUGACACUGAGGCUCGAAAGCGUGGGGAUCAAACAGG
Molecule: ribosomal RNA, 253 nt
Filed under: uncultured bacterium
Lineage: Bacteria
Description: partial 16S ribosomal RNA
Rfam family: Bacterial small subunit ribosomal RNA
Source: RNAcentral